AUGGCACCCAUCAUGGAGGGCACACAUACUGUGUUGCUCCUAUAUGCACCCAUCCGUGAGCUAAGCAACAUCAGCCUGUAUUUUGCCAAGAGGCAGGCUCUGAGCUUCAAGUACAAGAGCCGCUCCCCUCAUUCAGAAAGGGCCGGUAAUGACCAUGACCGGGGAAAGGAGGAUCUCGUAGUGUCCGAACAAAGAGGCCAGUCUUCCAGCUCCUCAGGCGAACUCCUCAUCUGCCAGCAGGCUACGAAGGAGGCAGUUGCAGAGCUCUGCUGGCUGGCGGCAGAGCACCACCAGUUGCUGGCUGAUCUCUUAUCACUGUGUAGGGAUUGCGCCAUCAAAGUCAGGAUGGGUAACCAGGAUGGGAAACUCCAGGAUUACAUGGAGUGUCAGGAAGUUCACCUUGGAGGUCAGAUCCUCGGCAGCAGCAAGUAUGUGUCUCCGGAGCACAAGAGAGCUACAUUCAAGAGCAAAAAGCUGAAGAAGUUGGGAGGCAAGAAGCUUGACAGCGGUGAGGAUUUCCUGCACAGUAAAAUGAAGAAGAAAGUUCCGAGUGGAACUUCAUCUAAUCAGUUUCCUGCUCAAAAAAGUAGGUCCAUAUCUUCAGCCUCAGUAAUGCAGCAGAUCCCAGGUACCCCAGCCUCUGGCCAUGUCCCAGUUGCCGGCUCUUAUGUCAGUGCACCAAAUAAUCCCAUCCUUUCCAUGGAGGAACCUUUCCAAUCUGCUCGUGAUGGUUGGGACUUCAUGGAGGACAACCGGGCAUUUGACCCUGACAUUGAUUUCUGCAAUGAUUUCUCGGAGUAUGACGGUGAGCUGGGUUAUGAGUCGUCCUUCUGCAACCUGAUGGAGGGUCUCACCCGACGGGAAAGCGGGAGCAACCUUCGACCAAUUAAGGGGUCUGAUUGCUUGGGUGAGACAUUAUCUGAGAAUGCAUCAACAGUCAAGUCCGCUCAGCAACUGUAUGGUGAAAUCAACCAGGCCAACACAGGGGUCAGACUGGUGGCCAAAGUGCAGGAUACGGAAGGGAGUGUGCAACAUGCCAACCAUACAAGCCCAGGGCCAGCUGGGCUACAUCUAGGGACUAGCAGCUGCCAGCAGGGGUAUGGAGAGGGGAGAGGACCAAACCUGCUGGGAGUCAAUAGAGAAAAGAUUGGUAACAAGCUUUCUCAAGGGCUACGGUUGCCACUAUCCCAUACCACCGAACCUUACCCACCAGUCAAAUCUCACAAAAAAAGCCCCUCUUCACCAUCUCUCGCUGGGGUCUUCAACACAUCUUUCCCUGCCUCCAACAGUCUCCACAGCAUGUCCCCAGUCCUGUCCCCUCUGUCCGCCAAGCUGACAAGCCCACAACUCAACCACCGCAUUGUUCUGCUCUCGGAUAAGGAUGUGGACCCUGAUCAAGACAGCUCCAGCAACACAGAUGAGCCCAAAAUCUUCACCGACAAGAACGGCAACAAGCGAUCCUUCACCCGUCUGGAUCUGAACCUCAGCCGGCGGCCCAGCAACUCCAAGUGGAACUCCCCAGCAACUCCAAGUGGAACUCCCCCAGCAACUCCACAACAACAACAGGUGAGCCACUAG
This is a long non-coding RNA of Cottoperca gobio, 1578 nucleotides long. The record is from Ensembl. NCBI's taxonomy places the organism in Eukaryota, Metazoa, Chordata, Actinopteri, Perciformes, Bovichtidae.